UUUCCGUAGGUGAGCCUGCGGAGGGAUCAUUACAGAGUUCUCGCCCUUACGGGUAGAUCUCCCACCCACUGUUAACGUUACUGUCGUUUCUUUGGCGGGCCGCCGGGUCCCCCGGCCGCCGGCGUCUAAUAGGCGGCGCGCGCCCGCCAGAGGCCUCCAAACUCUGAAUUUUAGUGUCGUCUGAGUACUAUAUAAUAGUUAAAACUUUCAACAACGGAUCUCUUGGUUCUG
This 231-nucleotide unclassified non-coding RNA is filed under the name plant metagenome. RNAcentral describes it as "partial contains small subunit ribosomal RNA, internal transcribed spacer 1, and 5.8S ribosomal RNA". The record is from RNAcentral.